Small nucleolar RNA from Pseudoliparis swirei, 154 nucleotides. RefSeq annotates it as small nucleolar RNA SNORA81. The transcript has a single exon. The record is from RefSeq and is a predicted model, not a curated record. NCBI's taxonomy places the organism in Eukaryota, Metazoa, Chordata, Actinopteri, Perciformes, Liparidae.
CCCUUCUCAAUAAAGCACCCUGCUAAAACUGCAUCAUGUGGCCAUGUAAGCAUGGGUACACCAGGGAAGGAUAUUAAAGGCACAGUUUAAAAAUGAGGCUAUGGGGGGACAUUAAUGUCCGGUGUCCGUUGGCUCAAUAUCCUGUGUUACACAU